GUCCACGCCGUAAACGAUGAGUACUAGGUGUUGCGGGUAUUGACCCCUGCAGUGCCGCAGCUAACGCAUUAAGUACUCCGCCUGGGAAGUACGGUCGCAAGACUAAACUCAAAGGAAUUGACGGGGCCCGCACAAGCGGUGGAGCAUGUGGUUUAAUUCGACGCAACGCGCAGAACCUUACCUGGGCUUGACAUCUACGGAACCCUCCCGAAACGGAGGGGUGCCUUUCGGGGAGCCGUAAGACAGGUGCUGCAUGGCUGUCGU
RNAcentral lists this ribosomal RNA (264 nucleotides) under uncultured bacterium. Its description in RNAcentral is "partial 16S ribosomal RNA". It matches the Rfam family "Bacterial small subunit ribosomal RNA", at positions 793 to 1055 of the family's 1533-position model. The record is from RNAcentral.